GGGAGCCACUGGAUCUGCCGGUGCCAGAGGUUUCCCAGGACUGCCAGGUCACCCUGGACUGAAGGGCCUUAAGGGUCAUACAGGUCUUCUAGGAGCGAGAGGUCAAUCUGGUGCUGCUGGGUCAAAGGGCCCAUCAGGUACUCCUGGUGGAAUGGGG
Long non-coding RNA from Coregonus clupeaformis (lake whitefish), 157 nucleotides. RefSeq lists it as uncharacterized. The record is from RefSeq and is a predicted model, not a curated record. NCBI's taxonomy places the organism in Eukaryota, Metazoa, Chordata, Actinopteri, Salmoniformes, Salmonidae. The transcript is spliced from 4 exons.